UUGCGGACAAUACCCGCCUACACGACAAGAAAUAAAUUUGUUAUUGACUCGUCGCAAAUCUUCGAGAUAUAUUCAUUCACGAUUCGUCGCGAUUUCUUCAUUCUUUCUUAACUAUGCGAUUGGCAGUUCUUACGAUGCGUCCGAUUUGAAUUAGCGCACACUCCAAGAGUUGAAUCGUAGUAUUUUAUUCAGCGUACGCGACGCAGGUGACGAUUUCAGCCGUCAUUCUAACCGGAUUGUUGAAAAGACAAUAUUCCGUUUCAGUCACAGCAAGCUACUCCGUCAUUAAAGCCCUGUUUACACCGUCGAAAUGCAAUCGGGACAAGAUGGAAUUCCGACAGAAUAUUCAUUUAGUUAUCGUAUUGCGGGUGUUUUUGCCAGCCUUACGGAUUAACCAUAUCACCACGGGACGGCAGCGCGGCAAAUUUCGACGCCAUCGCUACCUCAGUCUCUCCUGCAUUAUACCGAGCGUUAUGCUGAACACGCCUUAUUUACGGCGAUGGCUCCCUUUUUUACGCAACCGCGUAGAAGAAGAAAGGUUUGACAAAAUUGUGGACUAGCUGGGGGUCGAGUUCAAACGGCACGCAACUUUUGGGGAUAAAAUACGCAAAUUCGAAAUAUUUUCGGAGUUACAGAAGAAAUAGUGAGCAAGCGUCGAGCAGGUAUACGAGCGGUUUUUUGAAGUUUUCAACCAGUUUUUUGAAGAGUCUGAACCAGUUUUUUGAAGUUUUCAACCAGUUUUUUGAAGAGUCUGAACCAGUUUUUUGAAGUUUUGAACCAGUUUUUUGAAGAGUCUGAAGGGCAACUCUAUGGACCAGGAAUCGCUGAUUAGCAUAUUAAUGCGAUGGAAAUUGCGACCUGCACCUUUCCCGCCGCACGACAAAUGCAUACUCGAGACACCUCGGUGAAAUGCUUGUACCAGGCAUAAUAUGACAUGUAUCCUAAUGAAAAAAUUCGAGAAGACUGUUGAAAUACAUAACAAUAAACCCUGAAA
RNAcentral lists this unclassified non-coding RNA (994 nucleotides) under Neodiprion pinetum (white pine sawfly). Its description in RNAcentral is "elastin-like, transcript variant X3". Lineage: Eukaryota; Metazoa; Arthropoda; Insecta; Hymenoptera; Diprionidae. The record is from RNAcentral.